AAGUCGUAACAAGGUCUCCGUUGGUGAACCAGCGGAGGGAUCAUUACCGAGUUUUCAACUCCCAAACCCCAUGUGAACUUAUACCAUUUACAACCGUUGCUUCGGCGGGUUCUCGCCCCGGGCUUUACACCCCGGAACCAGGCGGCCCGCCGGGGGACCCAAACUCUAGAUUUUUAUUUUAGCAUGUCUGAGUGGAAUCAUUACAAAAUGAAUCAAAACUUUCAACAACGGAUCACUUGGUUCUG
Molecule: unclassified non-coding RNA, 245 nt
Filed under: Pochonia chlamydosporia
Lineage: Eukaryota; Fungi; Ascomycota; Sordariomycetes; Hypocreales; Clavicipitaceae
Description: partial internal transcribed spacer region
Rfam family: Eukaryotic small subunit ribosomal RNA (bases 1-46)
Source: RNAcentral